RNAcentral lists this ribosomal RNA (557 nucleotides) under Sphingopyxis sp. StTD394. RNAcentral's name for it is "bacterial SSU rRNA". It matches the Rfam family "Bacterial small subunit ribosomal RNA", at positions 102 to 694 of the family's 1533-position model. Lineage: Bacteria; Pseudomonadati; Pseudomonadota; Alphaproteobacteria; Sphingomonadales; Sphingopyxidaceae. The record is from RNAcentral.
ACGGGUGCGUAACGCGUGGGAAUCUGCCCUUGGGUGCGGAAUAACUUUCCGAAAGGAAUGCUAAUACCGCAUAAUGUCGUAAGACCAAAGAUUUAUCGCCCAAGGAUGAGCCCGCGUAAGAUUAGCUAGUUGGUGGGGUAAAAGCCUACCAAGGCGACGAUCUUUAGCUGGUCUGAGAGGAUGAUCAGCCACACUGGGACUGAGACACGGCCCAGACUCCUACGGGAGGCAGCAGUGGGGAAUAUUGGACAAUGGGCGAAAGCCUGAUCCAGCAAUGCCGCGUGAGUGAUGAAGGCCCUAGGGUUGUAAAGCUCUUUUACCCGGGAUGAUAAUGACAGUACCGGGAGAAUAAGCUCCGGCUAACUCCGUGCCAGCAGCCGCGGUAAUACGGAGGGAGCUAGCGUUGUUCGGAAUUACUGGGCGUAAAGCGCGCGUAGGCGGUUUUUUAAGUCAGAGGUGAAAGCCCGGGGCUCAACCCCGGAAUUGCCUUUGAAACUGGAAAACUUGAAUCUUGGAGAGGUCAGUGGAAUUCCGAGUGUAGAGGUGAAAUUCGUAGA